Long non-coding RNA from Pseudopipra pipra, 5387 nucleotides. RefSeq lists it as uncharacterized. NCBI's taxonomy places the organism in Eukaryota, Metazoa, Chordata, Aves, Passeriformes, Pipridae. The transcript has 4 exons. The record is from RefSeq and is a predicted model, not a curated record.
GGCCCCCGGACCGGCGCUCCCCGAUGGGAGAUGUAGUUCGGCCCCGGCGGGGCUGCUCCGGGGGGGAUGGACCCUCUGGGGAUGCCCGGGGGACGAGUGAGCAUACGGUUUCAGAUCUCUGGAAUUUAAAGCCAGUCAUAAGUUUUCUGCAAAGCCUCACACCUAAUUUUGGCCAAUGGGGGGUUAAUGCAGUAGCAGAGUGAUGACUGUGCUGUCUGGACAACCCCCCUUCUGCCCUCGCUGCUUCCCCAGGGCUGAAAAAAGCUGCUUCAGCAACAGAGACAUCCUAAAGAGCUGCUGUGGAGUCUGCUCUUGGAUGGUCUUUCCGACAAAGCUCAGCAGGCAGUAGGAGCUGAUGGAGAACCAAAUGGUGAAGGUAACCUUGUACUAGAGGCUGGAUGUUAGAAAUCCAUAGAAAUAAUACAGAAUAACAGAGGCCUUGGGAAAGGAGGAAGAGGUGGAGAACUGGGAGAGACAGUGUGGUUUGCCUAGAUGAAGGAAAACAUAUUUGAUGAGAACAGCAGAACUGUUGAAAAGGGGGCAAUGCCAUUAGCUUAUUCUCCUGCAUAGACUAGAGGAAGCCAACAGCAUACCUGGAAACUUGGAAGUUUUGCGGCAUAACCUGCUGGAAUAUCUCCUGUUAUACUGCAACUGCUACACUGUGAAAAGUUGUUUAAACAAUCUUGUGGCAUUUCUGCCUUCCUUAUGCUGCCCUGUCUGUGGCAAGACAGACUGAACCAUUCUGAGGUGCUCAGACGUUCACAAGUGGAAUAAAACUGAGCUGGCUGUUUGAAAGCUUUAGUCAAUAGGUGUCACUGUUCUGCUCUUCCCUUCUCAAAUCUCUUUCCAUCGGCAGCUUGGAAACAACAACCUUUUCAAGGAGAAGUCACUAAUUUUACAGGUAGGCAUCCUAUCGUCUCUCCCUUACCAUCUUCCUCCACUAAUUUCAGUGUUUCUAAAUCUCUCAAUUAGCAAAUCUGCAACCAUUCCUCUUGGGAUGCUAGUAUGCAGCCUAUUGCCAAAAGAAACCAAGCCUUUCCAGCUUGUAUUUGGAAGACAAGGAGGAAGAGUGGGCAUGGAAAAACCCAGUUGAGAACAGUUGCUGCAUUUCUUGCUGCCAUGAAGGGUCUGGCUCUACAAUAUGGCCUCAAUGACCAGACAGAGAGGAAGUAAUGCAGCACAUUCCAUGAAUAUUGCAGAGGCUUACAAAUAAAAGUUUAUGAAGUCCUGGCAUGACUAGUAUUUUGGGUUUUGGGAAUCAAUGUGAAUAAGAAAUCUCAUCUCUCAGUUGCACUGUGUAUAGACAACUCUGACCUGCAGCUCCUGUUCUACUUAAAAUAUGGUAAUCCAGGCAAUUUCCCCCUUCAUCAGUAAACACUCAGCAUUCAUCAGAUUCUUCUGUCUUUUUAAGUGAGGACCUCCACUAAAAACUGCUACCUUUCUAGCACCAUGUAAUCCUGCUAGAUUAAAGCAGCAUGUAGGCUCAGGGGCUUUCCUCCCUUCUGAAUGUAGGUAAGUAGUAUUUUGGUGUACUAAAGUUUCUGUGGAAAAAAAUUGAAAUACUCUAAAAGAAAAUAUUCAUCAAGGAAUGUCUUUGUUUACAGCAGUUUGUAGCACUGUCUGAUAAUAUCAUACAGAGAUGUGCCAAAGCAUCUCCAGUAAAGCAUGACCCUGCUGUUCCAAGGGCGGAGGAGGUGUAUAGCAAGGCACAGAGAGACAGAUUAUUUACAAGCCUUCAUUAAAUCAGUCAGUAUGGGGAAGGGGUCACCAUCGAAAAGGAGCAGUGGAACUACUGUGAUAAAAGCAGUCAAGGCAGAACUAAGCUCUAAGUAGUUUGUGUUACAUGAAGCAGCUCUGUACCUCUCCCGCUGGCAGGGUUAAGUGUUACAUGAGACUACCCAGAACCUGCAGGACAGCCCUAUCAAACCCCUGAUUUCAACUAGGAUGGGCUGCCUCUGCCUUCUGCAGGCUGCACUGUCACUGGUCCUGGGCUCAGCUGUCCCUGCAUCUUCCCAGGGCACGUGAUGCAACACAGCACAGGGCACUUGGGCCUGCCAGCUCCGGGAAGGGCCAUCACUGCUCUUGCAGCAUGUCUGGCAGUAGGCAACUGGCUACAAACAUUGUCCUUGACCACCCUAAUUCCCCAGGUAUUGCAGCUUAGAGCACAGCUAUGAGUACUUUUCCAGUCCUUUACCUUGUUCGUGCCAUCACAUUGUUCUUCUUGGGCUGCUGAUUCACUGGGCUUCCCAUGUUGCCAUUCUUCAGGGAGCCCUUCCGAGCCAGCUCCCUCUGCUUCUCUGCAUAUGAGACACAAAGGGCAAAAGCAAAAUCAGGGCAACAGCCUAGCUGGCCACCAUACAGCUACAGAAAUCCAGAUUUGAUAGUGGCAAAAAGCGUAGCAGAAUUAAUAGCAAAGGACUUGAGCUCUACAUCUCUUUUGGAGGGACACUGCAAAGGCCAGAUGAGCUGUGUUCCACUUUCUUAGAGGUCACCAGGGGCUAAAACUAAUAUACUCACAGCUAAUUCACUCACAGCAGCUUCUGACAUCAACACACUAAAAUCUUCAUCUCUAAGGUCUUGGAGCUUCUGGAUGAGACCCAGUGGAAGCAGACAAAGGACAGAGACCUGGUCCCUGUCUGCAGCUGGUUGCUGCAUGAUACUGUGCUGUACUAAUAUGGCCCUGCCUCCAGCAGGGAUAGGAACACAGGCAUGAUGGGUUUUCAUACAAACUAAUAUUAAAUUUUCUGAUUCAAAGUCUUGCCUUGUUUCCUGUGGAAAAUCAAUUGGGUUGAGUCACCAAUUAGUUGCAAAAGUUGGGCCAACUGCCCCAAUCUCAUCCUGCAAUGCCAGACAAGGCUUGUAGGCAAAAGCUGAGCAUGGGGCCAGUAUAGCAGGAAAGGGACUGGUUAAAAACAUUCUCCAGAGUGUGACAAAAUGUUGGAAACUACUUUCAUGGCAUGCCUGAAAAAUACGGAUAUACCAGACUGCUUGCUGAGGAACCUGAACAGUGAAUUUGUUUUGCUUCUGCUUCCCCUACAGGCUGUGAAUUGUGCUGAUUUUUUUUAUUUUUUUUUCUAGAUUUUAUUUCCCCUUGGAGAGAAAAGGAGCUUUUCCUGCUUGUUGUGGAAAAGCAACAUGCUACUAUGUAAGUAAGUUCAAGGUGGGCCACUCUGUCCCUUCCUCACAGGUCAGAGCAGGGGGAAACAUGCCCAAGGCUGCCUUUUUUGAGGGAGAAGCAAGCAGCAGAGAUGCCUAGAGACUGUGAUGAUGAGGAACAUGGAGAGAAGAGUACAAACCAUGCCCAGUCCUGCUCCUGAUGACAGUGGAGGCCAAUAAACGCUCAUGGCACUUGGCAGGAAAGGGAUUGGAUUAAUAAAUCCCUCUGGCAUGAACAGCUAAGAGAUUGAUAAAGGAUUGAAGUCAAAACCUUAAAUCAGAGUAAUUUCUCAGUACUGGAACUUGCAAAUGCAUUGAUUAUCUCUGUCUCCAUAAUAAAAGCAUGGUACUUUGCAGGCUGUUUGAAUUUUGCUGUCCAGAGAGGGAUAAAGUGGGGCUCUGUGGAGGCAAACAUUUACAACACUAAAUACAACUCAAUUUCCACCCAUCUACAUCAGAAGCUCCAGCGCUGACCACAAAUACACAGCACUGAGACAAGCUGCCAAUGCUUUAGGAGGCUGUAUAACCCACAAAAGACACCUGACUCAGAAACAAGGGUACAGGUUUCAUUUUCUUUCAUGGAAGUUAAGGCCUGCCUGAGCCUUUUAAAUGAGACAGCACUCUCUCCUUUUUAUUGAUCCCUCAGCACAAGCACUAAUGCUGUUCUCCAACUCAGAUUACUCAUUCAGCUGAUGAACCUGGACUUUUACUAACCAUGUUUUUUCCUCCAGUAGGUCUCUCCGUGACCAUUUCUACUCUAUUACUGAUUCCUAUUGCAACGUGUGGGUCAGAAUGACAUGAGCUUUUCUAUCUAAUCCUUUCAAUUAUUUAGUGGCUUGGAGUGAACAAUCCCAGUGCAAUGUGAGUGUGGUAGGAAAAUCUAUGCUUGUAUCCACAGCCAAAUUUCUUAAAUGCGAAUCAACAGUUCAUCUUCCUGUUGAAUGCUAUGAAGUGCGAGUCCCUGGUGGUCAAAAUGCGAUUUUGGCUUCCAGGGGCAGCGGGAGGCCUUCUCAGUCCAAGUGUGUUAGAACAAGCUCCUGGAAGGUGGUGAAGAUGUGCAUGAGUCACAUCAGGUUUUAAGGCAUGGAAACCUAGUAUUUGAGCCUUACAAGUGUUGUGAACUACUGAUACUUUUAUCAUCACCCAAGGGAGCUUUUGGAUGCCAAUCUCUUCCAGUAAUUCUGAGCUAUAAAUUCCAGCCUUGCACACCAACCAUCAGGUCCAUCAGAACAUAGGAUGGAGGUUUUCAGUGCCCAUUUUCUGUGUGGUGUUUCUUCCUGGUAUAGCCAGUGGAGUCUGUGAACCCCAUUUCUAGGCAAGUGAGGUCCUUCCCUGGCUUUCAGCUCAUCUGGUUUUCCCAGACGUUUGUUUGAAGGCCAAGUUCCCAAACUCUAAGUACUUGAGUCCUUUUAAGAAACGCGACUGAUUUAGGCACUUCUAAAGAUAUUACUUUCAGAGUCCAAUAUUUUAAUAAACCCCUGUAAUUUCACAAAUUAAAGUAGUUCUCACAAAAUCCGCAAUCAGACACACAACCAGCAAAGACAAGGCGAGAGGAGGAAAGGCUGAGGGAGCUGGGCCUGUUCAACCUGGAGCAGAGAUGACUAUAAGUAUCUGAACGGAGGGUGUCAGAGGACAGAGCCAGGCUCUGCUCAGUGGUGCUGAGCAAUAGUACAUGAGGCAAUGGGCAGAAACUGAUGCACAGGAAGUUCCACCUGAGUAUGAGGAAGAACUUCUUUACUGUGUGGGUGACUGAGCACUGGACUCGAUUGUUCAGAGAAAGUGUGGAGUGUCUCUCACUGCAGACAUUCCAGAAUCAUUUGGAUGCAAUCCUGUGUCAUGGGAUGACCCUGCCUGUACAGGGAGGUUGGACUAUAUGACCCAUUGUGGUCCCUUACAGCCUUACGCAUGCUGUGAUUCUGGGAUUCUGCUAACAGGCAGUCCUGCCAAACACAGAGAAAAUGGGACACACAAGAAGAAAUGAAAAAACAGAAGACUCUGAUUUCCAGUCACUGGUUAUUUCAUGUUUGGUGAGUUUGCUGUUGGAUGAAAAGCUAAUACAGGAAGGUGAAGGACAGAGAUUCAGAAAUGGGAAAAGUCAGAAUGAAAUUAAGCUGCUCUCCAGCUACUUCAGAGAAAUCAGUAAUUACUGGCAGCGUAAAAGCAGAGCCCCAGUGAUGCUCUUCAUAUGGCAUUUGCAAGUAUUUAAAAUAAAUUGUUUAGCUUUCAUUUCA